GACGAACGCUGGCGGCGUGCUUAACACAUGCAAGUCGAACGGAAAGGCCCUGCUUUUGUGGGGUGCUCGAGUGGCGAACGGGUGAGUAACACGUGAGUAACCUGCCCUUGACUUUGGGAUAACUUCAGGAAACUGGGGCUAAUACCGGAUAGGAGCUCCGGCUGCAUGGUGGGGGUUGGAAAGUUUCGGCGGUUGGGGAUGGACUCGCGGCUUAUCAGCUUGUUGGUGGGGUAGUGGCUUACCAAGGCAUUGACGGGUAGCCGGCCUGAGAGGGUGACCGGCCACAUUGGGACUGAGAUACGGCCCAGACUCCUACGGGAGGCAGCGGUGGGGAAUAUUGCACAAUGGGCGGAAGCCUGAUGCAGCAACGCCGCGUGCGGGAUGACGGCCUUCGGGUUGUGAACCGCUUUCGCCUGUGACGAAGCGUGAGUGACGGUAAUGGGUAAAGAAGCACCGGCUAACUACGUG
Molecule: ribosomal RNA, 468 nt
Filed under: uncultured bacterium
Lineage: Bacteria
Description: partial 16S ribosomal RNA
Rfam family: Bacterial small subunit ribosomal RNA
Source: RNAcentral